Phascolarctos cinereus (koala) is the source of this 2336-nucleotide non-coding RNA. The record is from RefSeq and is a predicted model, not a curated record. Lineage: Eukaryota; Metazoa; Chordata; Mammalia; Diprotodontia; Phascolarctidae.
CUUUCUCAGUUGCCACUCACUCUUAAACUCCUUUAAUGUAGUCUAGGUUCUUCCUCCACUUCACUAAAACUGCCCUUUAUCUAGUAGCUUUGCUCAGUCCUGUGCAACAUGUGACCCUGUUGACCACCUUUUCCGCCUGGACACUGUCUUCUCCCUGUGCUUUGUGACAUUACUCUGUCAGAGCUCACUUCCUGCAGAAUCUUCCACUGGUUCCUCCCACUAGUGUAUCCCAGACCUGGGUUCCGGGCCUUCUCUUUCUUCUACAUGGUCUAUCUUGGUGAUCUCAUCAGUUGCCAUGGAGUUAACUGCCCUCUCUAUGCAAAUAACUUCUAAAUCAACACAUAUAUCCUCCAUAUCUGUCUUGUAUGUCUCCAACUGCCAGUUAGACAUUUCCAACCAGAUGUCUCAUAGGCAUAUCAGACUUACCAUGUUCAAAACAGAAUACAUCACCUUUCCCUCUAAGCCCACCUACUCCUGAUUCAACUUUUGCUGUCAAGGGCCCCAGGACCUUCCAGUCCCUCAGGUUUCCACCAUGAGAGUCAUCCGUAUUUCUUCACUGCCCAUUCCUCCACCCACAUAUUUGAUCAGGUAGUAAGUCUGGUCCAUUCUCCGCCUUCAAAACCUUUUACUUGCAUCUGAAGCCUUCCAUAAAUGCUUGUUCGGUGAUUGACACCUGUCUAGACAGAUUUCCAUUCUGAUUCAGAUGGACUCUCAGGUCCUCCCCAUUUUCAACAUAUUGGCUCUUCUCAGACAAACAUUAGCAUAUCUCCAAUUCAAUUACAGAAAGAUUUCUCUGGGUCAGGCCUAACCAAAGGUUGUCCAUGAACACACAAUCCCAAUUCAUUAGCCUGGAAAUACUCCAGUCAAGUUUUGCCAGAAAGUCAUCAGAUGUGAAAGGAAACUAAUUUGGAAAAAAAAAAUAUUUCUUUAUAUCUAUUUUUGCAGAGUCGCAUUGAUAUAUAUCUUUGACAAAACCCAGCAGGUUCUUCUGUUAAAGAUGUGCGCCAUUUCUUACAGACUCUUCAUUCAAAGAGGUUUGAAGCUUAUGACUGGGGAGUCCUGCUCUGAAUAUGAAGUAUUAUAAUCAGGCCUUCAGUUCUACCCUUUGGUAUAUUGUGCUUUUUUGAGCCCCAGCAUCUUCCACUUUAAAGUCAUCAAGGUUUCCGAGGACCUGCUGAGGAGAUUCAUACUGGAAAUUCCACUGUUUCUUCAGCAUGGGAGUUCUACUAAGAGUCGAAUCAUUCUUUCCUGGCAAUACCCAGUGGAAGAGUAUGAAGUUGAGACUGAAGAUUCAUAUAGACUCAGCCUUACAAGAGUUCCCUGUGGAAGAAUGGGCAAUAAUGUAUCCAGCAUUGAUCAGAUCAGAGGCUUGUCGUGUUUUUGCGGCAUGGUCUUUGGCAACAUCUACCACCUGGGUCUCCAACCUUCCCAACUGCAGCCUGGGCUUCAUUCUAGCAGAUGCAGGUUUUGAUGUGUGGAUGGGAAACAGCAGGGGGAGUACCUAUUCCCGGAAACAUGCCUUUUUGUCACCAGAUUCCAAAUAAUACUGGGCCUUCAGUGUUGAUGAAUUGGCUCGAUAUGACCUCCCAGCCUCAGUUGACUACACUGUGAGAAAAACUGGACAGAAGAUAUAUUAUGUGGGCCAUUCUCAGGGCAACCUUUUGGUUUCCUGGCAUUCUCCACCUUAUCCAAGCUGGCCCAGGAAGUCAAAGCUUUUUUUUGCCUCAGCUCCAAUCUUUUACCUUCAGCACAUCAAAAGCCUCCCAUUUCUACUGCUUUUGAAGCUGCCCACACCAUUGUUAAGGAGUCGAAUUGAUGUAUAUGUGGCACAUAAUCCAGGGGGAACAUCUAUCCAGAACAUUCUCCAUUUCUCCCAGGCUUUUCAUGAAAUUCGACAAAUACUGUCACCUUAUGACUGGAGGAGUCCCAAAGAGAAUUUAGCUCAUUAUAAUCAGACGAUUCCUCUAACUUACAACCUAUCAACAAUGAAAGUGCCAACUGCGCUGUGGAGUGGUCUAAGAGAUUUGAUGGCUGACCCAAAAGAUGUCUCCAGCUUAAUCCCCCAAAUCCCCAAGAUUAUUUACCACAAGAUUCUGCCUGCAUUUGAUCAUUUGGCUUUUGUUUUUGGUGUUGACGCACCUCAAACAAUUUACUAUGAAAUUAUCAAAAUGAUCAAGAAAACCCUGUGAAGAUGGGAUUGCUGGUGAAAUCACUUUCCUUUUCUGAGAGCUGGGGAUUGAACUUAUUUUCCCUUCUAUAACAUGGCUCUUGGAGGGAUAAUGGGAAUGUCUCCUUCAUUUAACUACACUGAUAGAAAUAAAUAAUUUUCAUCCUCA